AUGUCUGCAUUAGUAAAGUAUUGUGUGUUCAAGAAAUUAGCAUGUUAUCAACCAGUAUGCUAAAGUUCAUGUGGACAAUCAAAAGAAUGGCCAAGAACAUUGCUGCUGGGUUAAUUCUAGCAAGUUUGUAUCCUUAAUAUUGAGGGGAAAAAAACCUUGUUGGCUGCACUACAAGAAUACUGUUUAUUGAUAGCACAAGUUAAUAUCAUGGCCAGCAGACAAAGUGGUUAUCUUUUGGAGCUCCGGUAUGCAUUUAAACUCCUGUGUUUAUAUUUCUUCCCAAAUAAUUUGUUAACAUUGACAAAAUUUCUCUUCUCGGUUCUCAGUAAGUUGUAGGAAUCUGAGUUAAUGAAGAUUGAUUACUUAUUUGAUUGCCUUUGCAUUUGAUUUCUUAUUUUAUGACAGUUCAGAGAUGCUAAGAGAGCUAUCUAUGAAGGUUAAAUUGG
Molecule: long non-coding RNA, 446 nt
Filed under: Rosa chinensis
Lineage: Eukaryota; Viridiplantae; Streptophyta; Magnoliopsida; Rosales; Rosaceae
Description: sRNA RchiOBHm_Chr5g0045321
Source: RNAcentral